Molecule: ribosomal RNA, 119 nt
Organism: Betta splendens (Siamese fighting fish)
Lineage: Eukaryota; Metazoa; Chordata; Actinopteri; Anabantiformes; Osphronemidae
Source: Ensembl
GCUUACGGCAAUACCACCCUGAGCACGCCCUAUCUCGUCUGAUCUCGGAGGCUAAGCAGGGUCGGGCCUGUUUAGUACUUGAAUGGGAGACCGCCUGGGAAUACCAGGUGUUGUAAGCG